AGCUCCAAUAGCGUAUAUUAAAGUUGUUGCAGUUAAAAAGCUCGUAGUUGGAUUUGUGACGUACGAUGUGUUCCCGGCACUUGUUGUCGGUGGUACCUGUCGUUGUCAUCCUUGGGUGGAAUUUGUGUGGCAUUAGGUUGUCGUGCAGGGGAUGCCCAUCGUUUACUGUGAAAAAAUUAGAGUGUUCAAAGCAGGCUUACGCCGUUGAAUAUAUUAGCAUGGAAUAAUGAGAUAGGACCUUGGUACUAUUUUGUUGGUUUGCGCACCGAGGUAAUGAUUAAUAGGGACAGUUGGGGGUAUUCGUAUUCCAUUGUCAGAGGUGAAAUUCUUGGAUUUUUGGAAGACGAACUACUGCGAAAGCAUUUACCAAGGAUGUUUUCAUUAAUCAAGAACGAAAGUA
This 400-nucleotide ribosomal RNA is filed under the name phytoplankton environmental sample. Its description in RNAcentral is "partial small subunit ribosomal RNA". It matches the Rfam family "Eukaryotic small subunit ribosomal RNA", at positions 587 to 991 of the family's 1831-position model. The record is from RNAcentral.